RNAcentral lists this ribosomal RNA (377 nucleotides) under uncultured Serratia sp. RNAcentral's name for it is "bacterial SSU rRNA". It matches the Rfam family "Bacterial small subunit ribosomal RNA", at positions 521 to 896 of the family's 1533-position model. The record is from RNAcentral. Lineage: Bacteria; Pseudomonadati; Pseudomonadota; Gammaproteobacteria; Enterobacterales; Yersiniaceae.
UAAUACGGAGGGUGCAAGCGUUAAUCGGAAUUACUGGGCGUAAAGCGCACGCAGGCGGUUUGUUAAGUCAGAUGUGAAAUCCCCGGGCUCAACCUGGGAACUGCAUUUGAAACUGGCAAGCUAGAGUCUCGUAGAGGGGGGUAGAAUUCCAGGUGUAGCGGUGAAAUGCGUAGAGAUCUGGAGGAAUACCGGUGGCGAAGGCGGCCCCCUGGACGAAGACUGACGCUCAGGUGCGAAAGCGUGGGGAGCAAACAGGAUUAAGAUACCCUGGUAGUCCACGCUGUAAACGAUGUCGAUUUGGAGGUUGUGCCCUUGAGGCGUGGCUUCCGGAGCUAACGCGUUAAAUCGACCGCCUGGGGAGUACGGCCGCAAGGUUA